GACGAACGCUGGCGGCGUGCUUAACACAUGCAAGUCGAACGGAAAGGCCUGCUUUCCCUUGUGGAUUGCGGGUACUCGAGUGGCGAACGGGUGAGUAACACGUGAGUGAUCUGCCCCCAACUUGGGUAUAAGCCUGGGAAACUGGGUCUAAUUCCCGAUAGUACUGCAGGGUGGUGCCUGUGGUGGCAAACGAUUUUCUAGUGGUUGGGGAUGAGCUCGCGGCCUAUCAGCUUGUUGGUGGGGUAAUGGCCUACCAAGGCGGCGACGGGUAGCCGGCCUGAGAGGGUGGACGGCCACAUUGGGACUGGGAUACGACCCAGACUCCUACGGGAGGCAGCAGUGGGGAAUAUUGCACAAUGGGCGGAAGCCUGAUGCAGCGACGGCGCGUGGGGGAUGACGGCCUUCGGGUUGUAAACUCCUUUCGACCGCGAGGAAGCCACCUGGUUGGAAGGGUGGUGACGGUAGUGGUAGAAGAAGCACCGGCUAACUACGUG
This 494-nucleotide ribosomal RNA is filed under the name uncultured bacterium. RNAcentral describes it as "partial 16S ribosomal RNA". It matches the Rfam family "Bacterial small subunit ribosomal RNA", at positions 28 to 507 of the family's 1533-position model. The record is from RNAcentral.